Molecule: ribosomal RNA, 691 nt
Filed under: uncultured bacterium
Lineage: Bacteria
Description: bacterial SSU rRNA
Rfam family: Bacterial small subunit ribosomal RNA
Source: RNAcentral
AACGCUAGCUACAGGCUUAACACAUGCAAGUCGAGGGGCAGCAUUUCGCUAGCAAUAGUGAAGAUGGCGACCGGCGCACGGGUGAGUAACACGUAUCCAACCUGCCGAUAACUCGGGGAUAGCCUUUCGAAAGAAAGAUUAAUACCCGAUGGCAUAGUUCUUCCGCAUGGUGGAACUAUUAAAGAAUUUCGGUCAUCGAUGGGGAUGCGUUCCAUUAGGUUGUUGGCGGGGUAACGGCCCACCAAGCCUUCGAUGGAUAGGGGUUCUGAGAGGAAGGUCCCCCACAUUGGAACUGAGACACGGUCCAAACUCCUACGGGAGGCAGCAGUGAGGAAUAUUGGUCAAUGGACGAGAGUCUGAACCAGCCAAGUAGCGUGAAGGAUGACUGCCCUAUGGGUUGUAAACUUCUUUUAUACGGGAAUAAAGUGAGGCACGUGUGCCUUUUUGUAUGUACCGUAUGAAUAAGGAUCGGCUAACUCCGUGCCAGCAGCCGCGGUAAUACGGAGGAUCCGAGCGUUAUCCGAAUUUAUUGGGUUUAAAGGGAGCGUAGGCGGACGCUUAAGUCAGUUGUGAAAGUUUGCGGCUCAACCGUAAAAUUGCAGUUGAUACUGGGUGUCUUGAGUACAGUAGAGGCAGGCGGAAUUCGUGGUGUAGCGGUGAAAUGCUUAGAUAUCACGAAGAACUCCGAUUG